RNAcentral lists this long non-coding RNA (740 nucleotides) under Rattus norvegicus (Norway rat). RNAcentral's name for it is "long non-coding RNA NONRATT013765". Lineage: Eukaryota; Metazoa; Chordata; Mammalia; Rodentia; Muridae. The record is from RNAcentral.
CAGACAGGAUGGCAGAUCGUGCUGCGCUGGAGGAGCUGGUGCGACUCCAGGGAGCGCAUGUGAGGGGCCUUAAGGAGCAGAAAGCGUCCGCUGAGCAGAUCGAGGAGGAGGUGACGAAACUCCUAAAACUGAAGGCACAGCUGGGCCAUGAUGAAGGCAAACAGAAGUUCGUCCUCAAAACCCCCAAGUUUUCUCUAGGAGACACUAACUGGAAAAUACGGAGAAGACUCAAAGCUUAUCUAUGACCUGAAGGACCAGGGUGGGGAGCUGCUGUCCCUCCGUUAUGACCUCACUGUAUCCUUCUAAACCUGGGUUCUUAAGACUUUGCAGGAAUUCGCACUCACAGGAGUUGAACUUGGGUUUAGGGGCAGUGGGCACAGGUAAGAUUAAAUAUGAAGCCAUACCAUCUGUAAAGAGAUCGGAUGCCCUCUUCUGGUGUGUCUGAAGACAGCUACAGUGUACUUAUAUAAAUAUGAAGCCAUUGACAGUGAAAGGAAUUUUUUUCUCUAAAGCAAGAUAAAGGACUUUGGGUAAGCAGAAUACAGUACAGCCUUAGAAAUCGCCAGUGUUGCCAGGUGGUGGUGGUGCAAGUUCCGGGACAGCCAAGGCUACAUAGAAAAAACCUGUCUCCCCACUCCCCACAAAAAAAACCAAAAACCCAGCUUUCUGUCAGGACCCUGUUCCCAAUUUUACAACAUUCUCCCGUCUCAAUAACAAAAGUGGACAGACUUUUCUGUGAU